AACUUUAAGAGCCGCGGUAUAUUGACCGUGCAAAGGUAGCAUAAUCAUUAGUUUCUUAAUUGGAAACUCGUAUGAACGGUUAAACAAAAGAAUUACUGUCUCUUUAUCUAAUAUUGAAUUUAACUUUUAAGUGAAAAGGCUUAAAUAUUUUAAGGGGACGAUAAGACCCUAUAAAGCUUUAUAAUUAAAUAAUAUUUUUUUGAAAUAACUAUAUAAAAAUAAAAUAUAAUAAAUCUUAUUUUGUUGGGGCGACAUAGAUAUAAAUAUAAAUAACUGUUAGAAUAAUAUACAUAAAUAUAUGAAUAAAGUAAAUGAUCCUAUUUAAAGAUUAAAAGACUAAGUUACUUUAGGGAUAACAGCGUUAUUUCUUUUGAGAGUUCUUAUUGAAAAAGAAGUUUGCGACCUCGAUGUUGAAUUAAAGGAUCUUUAUAGUGUAGUCGUUAUAAAAAGAAGGUCUGUUCGACCUUUAAAACUUUA
Molecule: ribosomal RNA, 477 nt
Filed under: Taliepus nuttallii
Lineage: Eukaryota; Metazoa; Arthropoda; Malacostraca; Decapoda; Epialtidae
Description: partial 16S ribosomal RNA
Rfam family: Bacterial large subunit ribosomal RNA
Source: RNAcentral